UGGGGAAUAUUGCGCAAUGGGCGAAAGCCUGACCCAGCAACGCCGCGUGAAGGAUGAAGUAUUUCGGUAUGUAAACUUCGUAAGAAUAGGAAGAAUAAAUGACGGUACUAUUUGUAAGGUCCGGCUAACUACGUGCCAGCAGCCGCGGUAAUACGAAGGGGGCUAGCGUUGUUCGGAAUCACUGGGCGUAAAGCGCACGUAGGCGGAUGUGCCAGUCAGGGGUGAAAUCCCGGAGCUCAACUCCGGAACUGCCUCUGAUACUGCACGUCUUGAGUUCGAGAGAGGUGGGUGGAAUUCCUAGUGUAGCGGUGAAAUGCGUAGAUAUCAAGAGGAACACCUGAGGUGAAGACGGGUUGCUGGGCUGACACUGACGCUGAGGCGCGAAAGCCAGGGGAGCAAACGGGAUUAGAUACCCUCGUAGUCCCUGAGCGGGCUGGCAAGGCGCAU
RNAcentral lists this ribosomal RNA (447 nucleotides) under uncultured bacterium. RNAcentral describes it as "bacterial SSU rRNA". It matches the Rfam family "Bacterial small subunit ribosomal RNA", at positions 355 to 825 of the family's 1533-position model. The record is from RNAcentral.